ACUCCUGCGGGAGGCAGCAGUGAGGAAUAUUGGACAAUGGGUGGAAGCCUGAUCCAGCCAUCCCGCGUGCAGGAAGACGGCCCUAUGGGUUGUAAACUGCUUUUAUCUGGGGAUAAACCUACUUACGUGUAAGUAGCUGAAGGUACCAGAAGAAUAAGCACCGGCUAACUCCGUGCCAGCAGCCGCGGUAAUACGGAGGGUGCAAGCGUUAUCCGGAUUUAUUGGGUUUAAAGGGUCCGUAGGCGGACUGAUAAGUCAGUGGUGAAAUCCGACAGCUUAACUGUCGAACUGCCAUUGAUACUGUUAGUCUUGAGUAAGGUUGAAGUGGCUGGAAUAAGUAGUGUAGCGGUGAAAUGCAUAGAUAUUACUUAGAACACCAAUUGCGAAGGCAGGUCACUAAGUCUUAACUGACGCUGAUGGACGAAAGCGUGGGGAGCGAACAGGAUUAGAAACCCUAGUAGUCCC
This 465-nucleotide ribosomal RNA is filed under the name uncultured organism. Its description in RNAcentral is "partial 16S ribosomal RNA". It matches the Rfam family "Bacterial small subunit ribosomal RNA", at positions 335 to 797 of the family's 1533-position model. The record is from RNAcentral.